UACGUAGGGCGCGAGCGUUGUCCGGAAUUAUUGGGCGUAAAGAGCUCGUAGGCGGCCUGUCGCGUCAAUUGUGAAAGCCCGGGACUCAACCCCGGGUCUGCAGUCGAUACGGGCAGGCUAGAGUGCGGUAGGGGAGAUCGGAAUUCCUGGUGUAGCGGUGAAAUGCGCAGAUAUCAGGAGGAACACCGGUGGCGAAGGCGGAUCUCUGGGCCGACACUGACGCUGAGGAGCGAAAGCGUGGGGAGCGAACAGG
This 253-nucleotide ribosomal RNA is filed under the name uncultured bacterium. RNAcentral describes it as "partial 16S ribosomal RNA". It matches the Rfam family "Bacterial small subunit ribosomal RNA", at positions 524 to 776 of the family's 1533-position model. The record is from RNAcentral.